Molecule: unclassified non-coding RNA, 200 nt
Filed under: Mycena sp.
Lineage: Eukaryota; Fungi; Basidiomycota; Agaricomycetes; Agaricales; Mycenaceae
Description: partial internal transcribed spacer 2
Source: RNAcentral
UUAAGUUCAGCGGGUAGUCCUACCUGAUUUGAGGUCAAAUUGUCAAUGUAUAGAUUGUCUCUUGAAGAGACGGUUAUAAGCAGGUCCCCACAAGUCUUGUAUCAGAGUCAGGCGGCGUAGAUAAUUAUCACACCAAGUGACCAUCCACAAAGGAAUCCACUAAUGCAUUUAAAGGGAGCAGACCAUCCAACUGAAGGAAG